AGAGUUUGAUCAUGGCUCAGGACGAACGCUGGCGGCGUGCUUAACACAUGCAAGUCGAGCGAUGAAACUACUUCGGUAGUGAAUUAGCGGCGAACGGGUGAGGAACACGUGAGGAAUCUGCCUUCUACACUGGGAUAACUCCGGGAAACCGGGGCUAAUACCGGAUAUGAAACUUGGUGGCAUCACCGAGUUUGGAAAGUUUUUCGGUAGAAGAUGACCUCGCGGCCUAUCAGCUUGUUGGUGAGGUAAUGGCUCACCAAGGCGACGACGGGUAGCCGGCCUGAGAGGGCGACCGGCCACACUGGGACUGAGACACGGCCCAGACUCCUACGGGAGGCAGCAGUGGGGAAUAUUGGGCAAUGGAGGAAACUCUGACCCAGCGACGCCGCGUGCGGGAUGAAGGCCUUCGGGUUGUAAACCGCUUUCAGUAGGGAAGAAGCGAAAGUGACGGUACCUACAGAAGAAGCACCGGCUAACUAUGUGCCAGCAGCCGCGGUAAUACAUAGGGUGCAAGCGUUGUCCGGAAUUAUUGGGCGUAAAGAGCUCGUAGGUGGUUCGUUACGUCGGAUGUGAAAAUCUGGGGCUCAACCCCAGACCUGCAUCCGAUACGGUCGAGCUAGAGUUUGGUAGGGGAGACUGGAAUUCCUGGUGUAGCGGUGGAAUGCGCAGAUAUCAGGAGGAACACCAAUGGCGAAGGCAGGUCUCUGGGCCAAUACUGACACUGAGGAGCGAAAGCGUGGGGAGCGAACAGGAUUAGAUACCCUGGUAGUCCACGCCGUAAACGGUGGGCGCUAGUUGUGGGAACCUUCCACGGUUUCUGCGACGCAGCUAACGCAUUAAGC
RNAcentral lists this ribosomal RNA (842 nucleotides) under uncultured bacterium. RNAcentral describes it as "bacterial SSU rRNA". It matches the Rfam family "Bacterial small subunit ribosomal RNA", at positions 8 to 865 of the family's 1533-position model. The record is from RNAcentral.